Molecule: ribosomal RNA, 322 nt
Filed under: uncultured bacterium
Lineage: Bacteria
Description: bacterial SSU rRNA
Rfam family: Bacterial small subunit ribosomal RNA
Source: RNAcentral
GAUGAACGCUGGCGGCGUGCUUAACACGUGCAAGUCGAACGAGAAUCAACGGAUUGAGGAUUCGUCCAAAUGAAGUUGAGGAAAGUGGCGGACGGGUGAGUAACGCGUGGGGAACCUGCCUCAUACAGGGGGAUAACAGUUAGAAAUGACUGCUAAUACCGCAUAAGCGCACAGUGCCGCAUGGCGCCGUGUGAAAACUCCGGUGGUAUGAGAUGGACCCGCGUCUGAUUAGCUGGUUGGUGGGGUAACGGCCCACCAAGGCGACGAUCAGUAGCCGACCUGAGAGGGUGAUCGGCCACAUUGGGACUGAGACACGGCCCAA